Molecule: long non-coding RNA, 536 nt
Organism: Cynoglossus semilaevis (tongue sole)
Lineage: Eukaryota; Metazoa; Chordata; Actinopteri; Pleuronectiformes; Cynoglossidae
Exons: 4
Source: RefSeq, a predicted model, not a curated record
CGACCACUUCCCAGUCUGUGUCUUGGCGUCCAAUAACUGUGUGCGUGCUGACUUAGCAAUUCUGUCUCCCACUGGAAAUCCCUUUGAACUAAGAGAUUGUCAUGGAGUCGUCACAUGUUCCUCCGGUGGAGUUGGACCUGGAACACUGCGGCCUCCGCUGUUACUGCUGGGGAGCGCCAGACUCAGACGGGGGAUCCUCGCAGGAGGAGGCCCAACAGAGGAGGAAGAGGGGAAGUUGGAGGAGGAACGAAUGGAAAUAAACACCUUCUUCACACAGUCUAUGGUGUUGACUCCUGUGUCCCCCUGACCUGUAUGGUUUGCAUGGCGUCCAGUACGGGGUCCUGCAUUGAGACAGGCAGUGAACAGGGCAGCAACAGCUCCCUGGAGGCCACAGGCUUCAGAAGCAGAGAGAGCGACGAGGACGACUGGAGCACACGUGAAGUGUAUGACAGAGAGCGUGGAACAAGUUGUUGUUGGUCUCCAGUUCUUCCCAGUCCAGACGCCAGCAAGUGGUGGGGCGGAUCACCAGAGGUAGG